GUAGAUAUGAUGAUUUCCAAUGAUACCGCCCCAGUCUGAUAAAGUAAUGACUGAUUGGUAUUAGCCUCUGAUCCCAU
Molecule: small nucleolar RNA, 77 nt
Organism: Cyprinodon variegatus (sheepshead minnow)
Lineage: Eukaryota; Metazoa; Chordata; Actinopteri; Cyprinodontiformes; Cyprinodontidae
Source: Ensembl